CCAAGGGUGGGGUUGUCGGC
RNAcentral lists this microRNA (20 nucleotides) under Sus scrofa (pig). RNAcentral describes it as "ssc-miR-9802-3p". Lineage: Eukaryota; Metazoa; Chordata; Mammalia; Artiodactyla; Suidae. The record is from miRBase by way of RNAcentral.